Molecule: ribosomal RNA, 387 nt
Filed under: Triticum aestivum (bread wheat)
Lineage: Eukaryota; Viridiplantae; Streptophyta; Magnoliopsida; Poales; Poaceae
Description: partial small subunit ribosomal RNA
Source: RNAcentral
AUGGUGAGACAAGGGCCGUUCGACGGACUGUUCGGCUUCUCUCAGGGCGCCCUCCUGUCGGCCGCGCUUGUUGGGCUCCAGCAACAAGGGCUGGCCUUGAACAGGGUUCCUAGGGUGAAGUACGUUAUGAUCAUAUCCGGUGCGAAGAUCCAGUCCCCGGCAUUGGCCGCCAAGGCGUACGCCAACAAGAUCAACUGCGCUUCGCUUCAUUUCAUUGGCGACGGUGACUUCGUGAAAGCCCACGGCGAGGAGCUGGCGGACUCGUUCGUGGAUCCGCUUGUCAUACGCCACCCGGCCGGGCACACGGUCCCCAGACUCGACGAGAAGGGCCUCCAGGCGAUGCUCAGCUACCUUGACAAGAUCGAAAGGGAUCUGGCGAGAGAUUAA